UCGGGUUUAAAUAAACGGGUCUGCAACUCUGCACCGGUCCGCCAACGCGAGCACCCGAUGAUGCUACUUAGUACGUUCGUCUCAAAACACAAACAUACACAGAACCUACACAGGACCGGGUUCAAUGGGGAGCAGUCGUGUUGGAGGCCAAGACACACUUUGGGUUGCUGCGCCUGAGGAGUAAGUAAAUAUUUUAUCUCUCCCAAAAAUUAGAGAAGCGCAUUCAAUUAAAAAAAAACUGGCCAAGUACGAGUCGGACUCGCGCACGAAGGGU
Cydia pomonella (codling moth) is the source of this 274-nucleotide long non-coding RNA. RefSeq lists it as uncharacterized. The transcript is spliced from 2 exons. Lineage: Eukaryota; Metazoa; Arthropoda; Insecta; Lepidoptera; Tortricidae. The record is from RefSeq and is a predicted model, not a curated record.